AAGAAAGGUCUGGGACUAAAAGAAACUGCUAACUUCUUUACCCGUAGUUCAAAUCCACGGCUUUCUUA
RNAcentral lists this transfer RNA (68 nucleotides) under Pateobatis hortlei (Hortle's whipray). RNAcentral's name for it is "tRNA-Ser". Lineage: Eukaryota; Metazoa; Chordata; Chondrichthyes; Myliobatiformes; Dasyatidae. The record is from RNAcentral.